This 292-nucleotide ribosomal RNA is filed under the name uncultured bacterium. Its description in RNAcentral is "partial 16S ribosomal RNA". It matches the Rfam family "Bacterial small subunit ribosomal RNA", at positions 773 to 1060 of the family's 1533-position model. The record is from RNAcentral.
GUGGAUUAGAUACCCUGGUAGUCCUGGCAGUAAACGGUGCGCGUUUGGUGUGGGAGGAUUCGACCCCUUCUGUGCCGGAGCUAACGCGUUAAACGCGCCGCCUGGGGAGUACGGUCGCAAGAUUAAAACUCAAAGAAAUUGACGGGGGCCCGCACAAGCGGUGGAGUAUGUGGCUUAAUUCGAUGCAACGCGAAGAACCUUACCUGGGCUUGACAUGCAUCUCUAAGUCGGUGAAAGCCGGCGAGUGUAGCAAUACACAAUUUGCACAGGUGCUGCAUGGCCGUCGUCAGCU